GCGGAGGAAAAGAAACCAACAGGGAUUGCCUCAGUAGCGGCGAGUGAAGCGGCAAAAGCUCAAAUUUGAAAUCUGGCGUCUUUGGCGUCCGAGUUGUAAUUUGAAGAAGGUAUCUUUGGGCCCGGCUCUUGUCUAUGUUCCUUGGAACAGGACGUCACAGAGGGUGAGAAUCCCGUGCGAUGAGAUGACCCGGGUCUGUGUAAAGUUCCUUCGACGAGUCGAGUUGUUUGGGAAUGCAGCUCUAAGUGGGUGGUAAAUUCCAUCUAAAGCUAAAUAUUGGCGAGAGACCGAUAGCGAACAAGUACAGUGAUGGAAAGAUGAAAAGAACUUUGAAAAGAGAGUGAAAAAGUACGUGAAAUUGUUGAAAGGGAAGGGCUUGAGAUCAGACUUGGUAUUUUGCAUGCUGCUCUCUCGGGGGCGGCCGCUGCGGUUUACCGGGCCAGCAUCGGUUUGGAGCGGCAGGAUAAUGGCGGAGGAAUGUGGCACGGCUUCUGCUGUGUGUUAUAGCCUCUGACGAUACUGCCAGCCAAGACCGAGGACUGCGGUUUUUAACCUAGGAUGUUGGCAUAAUGAUCUUAAGUCGCCCGUC
Molecule: ribosomal RNA, 589 nt
Filed under: Candida africana
Lineage: Eukaryota; Fungi; Ascomycota; Pichiomycetes; Serinales; Debaryomycetaceae
Description: [Candida] africana partial large subunit ribosomal RNA
Rfam family: Eukaryotic large subunit ribosomal RNA
Source: RNAcentral